RNAcentral lists this ribosomal RNA (253 nucleotides) under uncultured bacterium. RNAcentral's name for it is "partial 16S ribosomal RNA". It matches the Rfam family "Bacterial small subunit ribosomal RNA", at positions 524 to 776 of the family's 1533-position model. The record is from RNAcentral. RNAcentral also lists the same sequence under 1 other name.
UACAGAGGUCUCAAGCGUUGUUCGGAUUCAUUGGGCGUAAAGGGUGCGCAGGCUGUUGUGUAAGUCGGAUGUGAAAUCCCGGGGCUCAACCCCGGAACUGCAUUCGAUACUGCAUGACUAGAGGACUGGAGAGGAGAUUGGAAUUUACGGUGUAGCAGUGAAAUGCGUAGAUAUCGUAAGGAAGACCAGUGGCGAAGGCGAAUCUCUGGACAGUUCCUGACGCUCAUGCACGAAGGCUAGGGGAGCAAACGGG